RNAcentral lists this small RNA (344 nucleotides) under Pongo abelii (Sumatran orangutan). RNAcentral describes it as "retained intron". Lineage: Eukaryota; Metazoa; Chordata; Mammalia; Primates; Hominidae. The record is from RNAcentral.
UGGGGUUGAUGAAACUUACCUCUUUGAAUCGGAAGGUUUAGUUUUGCACAAAGAUCCAAGACAGGUGUAUCUUUGUCUUCUUGAAAUUGGUCGAAUUGUGUCAAGAUACGGGGUUGAGCCACCAGUGUUAGUAAAACUUGAGAAAGAAAUUGAGUUAGAAGAGACUUUGCUUAAUACUUCUGGGCCUGAAGAUUCCAUCAGCCUUCCAAAAUCGUGCUGUCGGCAUGAAGAGCUACAUGAAGCUGUAAGUAGUUGCCACACUUUCUUUUGACCGUGAUACCUUGAAGUCUCAUGAUUUUAAGCACUUCUAGUUUGCUACAGGUGAUGCCAUUUUUAAAAGCAAG